This is a long non-coding RNA of Callithrix jacchus (white-tufted-ear marmoset), 1837 nucleotides long. RefSeq lists it as uncharacterized. The record is from RefSeq and is a predicted model, not a curated record. Lineage: Eukaryota; Metazoa; Chordata; Mammalia; Primates; Cebidae.
CCAAAUAAAUAUUGUUAUAUACUGUGUAAAAAUAGAAGGUGCUGGCAUUCUGAAUUUUUUGCAAAGGCUGUUCCUCCAAACCUGCUCCUUGGUGGAUCUGUAUCACUGAGUCAUAUGUAGGCCAAAAGGAUCAUAAGCCAAAUGGUUGGAACUCGGUAGUUCUGUUCCCUGCUGUCACUACAUUGUUUCCCCAACAAACUCAGUUUACAGUAGACAUCAGAAUUUUAUAUUCAACCACUAGCAGUAGUUGCUAACGCAUCAUGCAAUUAAUAUAAAUCAUUUAAAAAUUUAUAACCGCCUGAUAGGCCGUCAUGUUAAAUUACUAAAUGUAUUUAUUUUUAAAAUGUUGGCUGGAUACAACGGCUCACUCCUAUAAUCCUAGCACUUUGGGAGGCUCAAGGAGGGAUCGCUUGAACCUGGGAGUUCGAGACCAGCCUGGGCAACGCAAUGAAACCUCUUUCUACAAAACAUACAAAAUUUAGCUGGGCAUUGUGGUGCACCCCUGUGGCCCCAGCUACUCAUGAGGCUGAGCUGGGAGGAUCGCUUGAGUCCCGGAGGUCAAGGCUGCAGUAAACUGUAAUUGCACUGCUACACUCCGACCCAGGUAACAGUGAUACCCUGUCUCAAAAACACAAAAACAAAAACAAAAAACAGUUAACAAUGUUCACAAUGGAGAGAGCUAUGAAAACAAAAUUUUAGAGACAGUGUGGCUCAAGAACUAUCUCUGUGCAGUUGCAGCUAGAAGGAACCAAGGUGGCUGACUCUGAUUUUGAACUAGAAUUGUCACUGACAAUAAGAGUUACUGUGGAGGAUGAAAAACUCCCAUCAUUCCCUUAGCAAGACUUGAAAAGAAGGAUGAAUUAUGUUCAGCAAAUUUAAUAUUUCACAGUGAUAAAACUCAUAUUAUUUUGCAUUGUUAAAUCUCUGAAAUCCUGAUGCAUUUACCAUGGAUGGCGUUUUAGGAUUAUGGUUGGCGAGGUCAUGGUUGUGAUGUGGUGUCACUGCCGGCACAUGUACAAACUUGUUGGUUAUUCCUGGUGGGAUGACUUGGCCACUGUAAUCUCCAUGUUUCUCUCAACAGAUUAUAUAAGGACCAUCUGGAAAAGACACAUGCUGCCUGUUGUCUGGAAACCUUCCACUGACACUUUCGGUUAAGAUCAGGAAAGUCUCAGCAUCAAAAUUUGUAAGACAGGUGUCAGUAGUUUGCAAGAAAACAGUAGUGGAAUCGUUUUAAGGAAUGCUGCAUUAUUAGUACGUAGUAAUUAAGGACACAGAGGACAUUUCUGUAUGAACGACACAGACACCAAUGACUGUAAGCUGAAAAAUGACUCAGAAGAAAAAUAGAGAUUCUGAAUGUAAAGAAAUUAUUGAUUUUUUUUUUUUUUUUUUUUUUUUUUUGAGACAAAGCCUCACUCUGUCACCCAGGCUGGAGUGUAAUGUUGAGAUCUUGGCUUACUGCAACCUCUGCCUCCCAGGUUCAAGCAAUUCUCGUUCCUCAGCCUUCUGAGUAGCUGGAAUUACAGAUGGAGUUUCGCUGUUGUUACCCAGACUGGAGUGCAAUGGCACGAUCUCGGCUCACCACAACCUCCGCCUUCUGGAUUCAAGCAAUUCUCCUGCCUCAGCCUCCUGAGUAGCUGGGACUACAGGCGUGCACCACCAUGCCCAGCUAAUUUUUGUAUUUUUAGUAGAGACGGGGUUUCACCUCGUUGACCAGGAUGUUCUCAAUCUCUUGACCUCGUGAUCCACCCGCCUCGGCCUCCCAAAGUGCUGGGAUUAUAGGCAUGAGCCACCGCGCCCGGCCUAAAAAUUCUAAAUAAUAAAAAAAGAAUUACAAAUA